Molecule: ribosomal RNA, 132 nt
Filed under: Bacteroidales bacterium
Lineage: Bacteria; Pseudomonadati; Bacteroidota; Bacteroidia; Bacteroidales
Description: partial 16S ribosomal RNA
Rfam family: Bacterial small subunit ribosomal RNA
Source: RNAcentral
UUUUUACAAUGAAGAGUUUGAUCCUGGCUCAGGAUGAACGCUAGCGGCAGGCUUAACACAUGCAAGUCGAGGGGCAGCGGGUGUAGCAAUACAUGCCGGCGACCGGCGCACGGGUGAGUAACGCGUAUGUAA